UACAGAGACCUCAAGCGUUAUCCGGAUUUAUUGGGCGUAAAGAGCGAGUAGGUGGAUAUGAUAGUCAGAUGUCAAAUCCCCGGGCUUAACCCGGGAACUGCAUUUGAAACGUCAUAUCUAGAGGAAGUGAGAGACCAGUGGAACUCAUGGUGUAGUAGUGAAAUGCGUUGAUAUCAUGGGGAACACCAAAGACGAAGGUAUCUGGUUGGCACUUAUCUGACACUGAGUCGCGAAAGCGUGGGAAUCGAAU
This 250-nucleotide ribosomal RNA is filed under the name uncultured bacterium. RNAcentral describes it as "partial 16S ribosomal RNA". It matches the Rfam family "Bacterial small subunit ribosomal RNA", at positions 524 to 773 of the family's 1533-position model. The record is from RNAcentral.